This is a transfer RNA of Candidatus Nitrosopelagicus brevis, 100 nucleotides long. It matches the Rfam family "tRNA". Rfam says of the family: Transfer RNA (tRNA) molecules are approximately 80 nucleotides in length. Lineage: Archaea; Thermoproteati; Nitrososphaerota. The record is from Rfam.
GGAGGGGUAUCGAAGCCUGGUCAACCGAGAAGGACUCAAGAUCAUCGUAUAAGAUAUCCUUUCUCUUAGGAGUUCGUGGGUUCGAAUCCCACCCCCUCCA